GUCCACGCCCUAAACGAUGCAUAUUUGGUGUGGGUCAUUCAGUUGAUCCGUGCCGGAGCUAACGCGUUAAAUAUGCCGCCUGGGGAGUACAGUCGCAAGGCUGAAACUCAAAGGAAUUGACGGGGGCCCGCACAAGCGGUGGAGCAUGUGGUUCAAUUCGACGCAACGCGAAGAACCUUACCUGGGCUCGAACGGCUGGUUAACGGCUUUGGAAACAGAGCUACUCCGCAAGGAGGUCCAGUCGAGGUGCUGCAUGGCUGUCGU
Molecule: ribosomal RNA, 264 nt
Filed under: uncultured bacterium
Lineage: Bacteria
Description: partial 16S ribosomal RNA
Rfam family: Bacterial small subunit ribosomal RNA
Source: RNAcentral